RNAcentral lists this ribosomal RNA (472 nucleotides) under uncultured microorganism. RNAcentral's name for it is "bacterial SSU rRNA". It matches the Rfam family "Bacterial small subunit ribosomal RNA", at positions 9 to 472 of the family's 1533-position model. The record is from RNAcentral.
GAGUUUGAUCGUGGCUCAGAUUGAACGCUGGCGGCAUGCCUUACACAUGCAAGUCGAACGGCAGCAUGAUCUAGCUUGCUAGAUUGAUGGCGAGUGGCGAACGGGUGAGUAAUACAUCGGAACGUGCCCUGUAGUGGGGGAUAACUAGUCGAAAGAUUAGCUAAUACCGCAUACGACCUGAGGGUGAAAGUGGGGGACCGCAAGGCCUCAUGCUAUAGGAGCGGCCGAUGUCUGAUUAGCUAGUUGGUGGGGUAAAGGCCCACCAAGGCGACGAUCAGUAGCUGGUCUGAGAGGACGAUCAGCCACACUGGGACUGAGACACGGCCCAGACUCCUACGGGAGGCAGCAGUGGGGAAUUUUGGACAAUGGGGGCAACCCUGAUCCAGCAAUGCCGCGUGUGUGAAGAAGGCCUUCGGGUUGUAAGCGACUUUGUUCCGGUAAGAAAUACGCACUACUAAUAUUAGGUGUGGUA